AGAGCUUGCUCUCGGGUGACGAGUGGCGGACGGGUGAGUAAUGUCUGGGAAACUGCCCGAUGGAGGGGGAUAACUACUGGAAACGGUAGCUAAUACCGCAUAACGUCGCAAGACCAAAGUGGGGGACCUUCGGGCCUCACACCAUCGGAUGUGCCCAGAUGGGAUUAGCUAGUAGGUGGGGUAAUGGCUCACCUAGGCGACGAUCCCUAGCUGGUCUGAGAGGAUGACCAGCCACACUGGAACUGAGACACGGUCCAGACUCCUACGGGAGGCAGCAGUGGGGAAUAUUGCACAAUGGGCGCAAGCCUGAUGCAGCCAUGCCGCGUGUAUGAAGAAGGCCUUCGGGUUGUAAAGUACUUUCAGCGGGGAGGAAGGCGGUGAGGUUAAUAACCUCACCGAUUGACGUUACCCGCAGAAGAAGCACCGGCUAACUCCGUGCCAGCAGCCGCGGUAAUACGGAGGGUGCAAGCGUUAAUCGGAAUUACUGGGCGUAAAGCGCACGCAGGCGGUCUGUCAAGUCGGAUGUGAAAUCCCCGGGCUUAACCUGGGAACUGCAUUCGAAACUGGCAGGCUAGAGUCUUGUAGAGGGGGGUAGAAUUCCAGGUGUAGCGGUGAAAUGCGUAGAGAUCUGGAG
This 634-nucleotide ribosomal RNA is filed under the name uncultured bacterium. RNAcentral's name for it is "bacterial SSU rRNA". It matches the Rfam family "Bacterial small subunit ribosomal RNA", at positions 75 to 703 of the family's 1533-position model. The record is from RNAcentral.